CUCUAGCUCCAAUUUGUUUCAGUUCUGUGAAGCAUCUGAACAAGCAGAAGGCAAGGAGAAACACAGCCCCUGUGGAAAAUACAUUAGGACUUUCAGGAUGGACUUUUGUCCUGCUGGGUCAUCUGACCUGAGUGAGGCUGAAGAGGCUGAAAUAGAGACAAUAAGGCAGCACAGAGAGGAGCUCUUGGAGGACAUUAAGAAGCUGAAAGAAGAGAUUGCGCAAGUGUUUGCAGAGAUCGAGGGCUUCCAAAACGCAGAGGAGAGGCAAGAGGCAGACCAGAACCCUGGUGAGAGGACCAGCAAACUAUCACAGAGGGAUAAACUUCUGUCCGUGGGUCGGAAGAAAUUCAACAUGGAUCCUGAAAAGGGGAUCCAGUACCUGAUCGAGCAGCAACUAUUGUCCUCAGACCUGCAGGAGAUUGCCAAAUUCCUCCACAAGGGUGAAGGCUUGAACAAGACAGCCAUUGGCGAUUACUUGGGUAGGAGAGACUCCAAAAACAUUCAGAUUCUCCAAGCCUUUGUGGCAUGUCACCAGUUUGCCAACCUCAACCUGGUGCAAGCACUAAGACAGUUCCUAUGGAGCUUCCGGCUGCCUGGGGAAGCACAGAAAAUUGAUCGCAUGAUGGAGGCCUUUGCCAACUGGUACUGCAAGUGUAACCCAGGAGUAUUCCAGUCCACAGAUACAUGUUAUAUACUCUCCUUCUCCAUUAUCAUGCUUAACACCAGCCUGCACAACCCUAAUGUGAAAGACAAACCCCCCUUUGAAAGGUUUGUGUCCAUCAACCGAGGCAUCAAUGAUGGAGCAGACCUGCCACAAGAGCUCUUAAAGAAUCUGUUUGACAGCAUAAAAAACGAGCCAUUCUCUAUACCAGAAGAUGAUGGAAAUGAUCUCACGCACACUUUCUUCAACCCUAACCGUGAGGGCUGGCUCCUGAAACUAGGAGGACGUGUGAAAACCUGGAAACGUCGUUGGUUCAUUCUGACCGAUAACUGCCUGUACUACUUUGAAUAUACCACGGACAAGGAGCCUCUGGGUAUAAUUCCCCUGGAGAACCUAUCAGUCCAGAAGGUGGAUGACCCCAAAAAGCCAAAUUGCUUUGAGCUCUUCAAUCCCAACUGCAAAGGGCAGAAGAUCAAAGCCUGCAAAACAGAUGGGGAUGGGAAGGUGGUUGAAGGCAAGCACCAGUCCUAUAAGAUCUCUGCAGCUACACCAGCAGAACGUGAUGAGUGGAUUGAGGCAAUAAGGACUAGCAUCACACAGAAUCCUUUCUAUGAUCUCGUCUCUGCCCGAAAGAAGAAGAUUGCCAACAAAAACUGAUCCCUGACCUGGUCGCUGGCAGCAGGAAGAUGUAGUUGUUGAACAGCAUCUCUCACAUGCUGGGCACUUUCAGGGAAGAAAUUUGGGAGGAUUGGCACCUUCCCACUUGGCAUGAAGAUGACUGACAGGACAACUUACCAGAUUUGCUUCUUCUCCUUCCAACCCAAAGGCAGAGGAGCAAUCCACUGAGGACUGUCAGAGCUGUGGGCACAGCACUUCCCGUGUCAUUGCUCAGAGGCUAAACGUCAACUGGCUUUUGGCUUUCUCCAUAUUGCUCCAGCUAUGAAGGGCAGGAUUUGAGGAGAGACAAGAAUGCCUCCAGAACACCUUCCAGCCUGUAGCUGAUCUCUACAACCAUCAAGUGAAGGUACUAGGCUCACCCUAAUGCACCUACGUGGAAGAGAUGUUUUCUUCUGCUCCUUUAACCAUGUCUCAGUUUCAGGGGAUAUUAUCCUCACUGGACAGCCAAAUUUCUUGGUAAGUGGGGAUGAUGAAGAAGCAAGACAGCAUGGAUGAAGCACAAGACACCAAAUUAUCAUGAACCAAAAAUUACAGCCCUGUACAGAGGAUAAGAAUCUGAGGGGAUGACUGGAAUCAGCCAAAGGCUGCUUGAAUACCAGAACUGCUUGCUUCUUUCCUUAUGGUGCAGAGGGACGUGGUUUAGUGGGUGUGAUGAUGAUGGGUUGAUGGUUGAACUUGAUGAUCUUAGUGAUCUUUUCCAACCUUACUAGUUCUAUAAUGCUAUGAUUCUACGACUCUACAGUCCUUCAAUGUGCCCCCAGUCCAAUAGUCUCCACCUGGCUUCAGGACAUUUGUGACUACCCCAGCCCUGACAGUCUUUCCUUCCCAAAGCUUUGUUUUUCCCCUAGACAGCAUCUGCAAAUACAUCUUGUCCUUUGUCCUCCCUGUGGCAGAGCAACCAGUUGAAAUGCAAGGACUGUGGAGACAAAAUUGAAUUUAGGAACAAAAUAAACAGCAUGGGGGCACUCUACUGAUGAGAUUAUACCUGUUUAAAAUUUCUGCAUUAAUUUCUCUCAAGGUUUAAGAUUCCCUAUCUCCAACAGCACAUAAACCUGCACUGCAGAGAUGCAGAUGCCAAGAAUAUUACUUUGACCUGAUGAUCCAGCUUUCCACAAAGUACACAGAGCUCUGAUAAACCCCAUCAGAGCUCCUCUUUGUUAUGCACCAUUUUCCAUCCCCCAGAGAUGCACAGCCCAAUGCCAUUCCUUCCCACGCUCAGUCAUUCUUCUCAGGACCAAGGAAGAACAUAUCAGACUGUGAAGCAUCUGCAUGUAGUAGCAGCUGCCCUGGGCUGCUCUAAAAUCAAUUCAAGCAUUAAUAAGAGUUGCCAGCUACUGUGGCAUAUAUAUCCAGGAGCUGAAAGUCACUGCUGCGUUCAUAUUCAUCCCCACCCCCCAAGACUGCUUAUUUCUGCCACUUUCUGCUCUAGGAAGAGAGGCUGUUUCAGAAAGUCGCAGCAGCUGCCUCCAUGAAGGAACCCCAGAAGCCACAGUUACUUUUCUGAUCAAAGAAGAAUGUGCAAUGGCAAAAGAUGAUAACUUCUGCGCCAAGCAGCAAUACCACUCUUGGAGAAAAAAUCAGGAGAUGAGGAAGAGAUAAGAUAUUUAUGAGAAUGGCUGCUAUGUCACCAUGCACAAAUUGGCCUAAUUAUCUGUAUAAAUGCACCAAUACACACA
RNA transcript from Centrocercus urophasianus (Greater sage-grouse), 3015 nucleotides. It is a transcript of the gene named cytohesin 4, with no coding region annotated. The transcript is spliced from 16 exons. The record is from RefSeq and is a predicted model, not a curated record. Lineage: Eukaryota; Metazoa; Chordata; Aves; Galliformes; Phasianidae.